GAAUACCAGAACGAAUAAUUAGCACUAGAAGUUGGUUUCCAAAAAAAAUUCUCAGAAGUUGGAUACAGAACUUAAAUUUCAUUAUAACCUUACAUAGGUAAGAAAAUUAAAGAGCAAAUUACACAAUAAAUCACUCCAUAAGCUCACCUUGCAGUAUUUUAACCCAAUUACAAGUUUGCAAAUGUGUAGCCAAAUAUCAAUAUGCUCAAAUCCG
This 214-nucleotide long non-coding RNA is filed under the name Nicotiana benthamiana. RNAcentral's name for it is "long non-coding RNA (NBEN_LNC001830)". Lineage: Eukaryota; Viridiplantae; Streptophyta; Magnoliopsida; Solanales; Solanaceae. The record is from RNAcentral.